RNAcentral lists this ribosomal RNA (2082 nucleotides) under human gut metagenome. RNAcentral's name for it is "bacterial LSU rRNA". It matches the Rfam family "Bacterial large subunit ribosomal RNA", at positions 13 to 2126 of the family's 2925-position model. The record is from RNAcentral.
AAGAGCGUAUGGUGGAUGCCUUGGCACUAAGAGCCGAUGAAAGACGUGAUAAGCUGCGAAAAGCUUCGGGGAGGAGCAAAUAUCCUUUGAUCCGGAGAUCUCUGAAUGGGGAAACCCACUUGAGCAAACCUCAAGUAUCCUUAAGCCAAUACAUAACUUAAGGAAGGGAACCCGGUGAACUGAAACAUCUAAGUAGCCGGAGGAAGAGAAAACAACAUGUGAUUCUGUGAGUAGCGGCGAGCGAAAACGGAAGAGCCCAAACCGGGAUGCGUGCAUCCCGGGGUUCGGACCGCAUAAUUGAUUCAACAAAUUUAGCAGAACGGUUUUGGGAAAGCCGGCCAGAGAGGGUGAAAGCCCCGUAAGCGAAAGAUGAGUUGACAUGGCGGUAUCCAGAGUAGGUCGAGACACGUGGAACCUUGACUGAACAUGCGGGGACCACCCCGUAAGGCUAAAUACUCCUUAGUGACCGAUAGCGCAUAGUACUGUGAAGGAACGGUGAAAAGGACCCCGGGAGGGGAGUGAAACAGAACCUGAAACCAUAUGUUUACAAGCUGUGGAAGAGCUUUAUAUGCUCAACCGCGUACUUUUUGUAGAACGGUCCGGCGAGUUACGCUGGCUGGCGAGGUUAAGGACUAAAGGUCCGGAGCCGAAGGGAAACCAAGUCUGAAUAGGGCGCAUAGUCAGUCGGAGUAGACCCGAAACCGGGUGAUCUAUCCAUGUCCAGGUUGAAGUUGCCGUAAAAGGCAAUGGAGGACCGAACCCACAUCCGUUGAAAAGGGUGGGGAUGAGGUGUGGAUAGGGGAGAAAUUCCAAUCGAACCCGGAGAUAGCUGGUUCUCCUCGAAAUAGCUUUAGGGCUAGCCUCAUACAAGUCUUGCGGAGGUAGAGCACUGAAUUUCCUAGGGGGCGUCAAAGCUUACCGAAGAAUAUCAAACUCCGAAUGCCGUGUAGAUGUUGUAUGGGAGUCAGACUGUACGAGAUAAGUUGGACAGUCAAAAGGGAAAGAGCCCAGACCUGCAGCUAAGGCCCCAAAAUGUGUGUUAAGUGGAAAAGGAUGUGGGAUUUCAAAGACAACUAGGAUGUUGGCUUAGAAGCAGCCAUACAUUCAAAGAGUGCGUAAUAGCUCACUAGUCGAGAGGUCCUGCGCCGAAAAUGUCCGGGGCUGAAACACACUACCGAAGCUCAGGAAUUAACGUAGUUAAUUGGUAGAGGAGCAUUCUUAAAGGGAAGAAGCAGUACCGGAAGGAGCUGUGGACUUUUAAGAAGAGAGAAUGCCGGAAUGAGUAGCGAGAGGAAGGUGAGAAUCCUUCCGGCCGAAUAUCUAAGGUUUCCAGAGUAAAGCUGAUCUGCUCUGGGUAAGUCGGGGCCUAAGGCCAGGUCGAAAGACGUAACCGAUGGACAACAGGUUGAAAUUCCUGUACCUUAAGUAAACAGAACUGUGGGGACACGUGUGGAGAGCACAAGCCGGAAAUGGAAAAGCCGGUGCAAGCGAGGUAGGAGUACAGUAGGCAAAUCCGCUGUACAAUCCGAAGACGUGAUGCGGACCGAAUUAAGAGUAGGGAAGUGUGUGAGCCAUGCGUCAAGAAAAGCCGCUAUUGUUUUACUUAAGCCCGUACCGUAAACCGACACAGGUGGAUGAGGAGAGAAUCCUAAGGCCGACGGGAGAAGCAUUGUUAAGGAACUCGGCAAAAUGACUCCGUAACUUCGGGAGAAGGAGUGCCUGGGAGACCAGGCCGCAGAGAAUUGGCCCAAGCAACUGUUUAGCAAAAACACAGGUCUAUGCAAAACCGAAAGGUGAAGUAUAUGGGCUGACGCCUGCCCGGUGCUGGAAGGUUAAGGGGAGAGGUUAGCGCAAGCGAAGCUUUGAACUUAAGCCCCAGUAAACGGCGGCCGUAACUAUAACGGUCCUAAGGUAGCGAAAUUCCUUGUCGGGUAAGUUCCGACCCGCACGAAAGGCGUAAUGAUUUGGGCACUGUCUCAACAAUGCACCCGGUGAAAUUGAAAUACCAGUGAAGAUGCUGGUUACCUGCGCCAGGACGGAAAGACCCCAUGGAGCUUUACUCCAGCUUGAUACUGGGAUUCG